RNAcentral lists this transfer RNA (63 nucleotides) under Prosadenoporus spectaculum. RNAcentral's name for it is "tRNA-Tyr". Lineage: Eukaryota; Metazoa; Nemertea; Enopla; Monostilifera; Prosorhochmidae. The record is from RNAcentral.
CGAAAGAUGGCUGAGAGAUAAGCGAAGGAUUGUAGCUCUUUUUACGGAUUUUUCCUCUUUUGA